GAAUAAAUUGUACUUGUAAGAGUAGUUUUAAGGCAACAUACUUUUCACUUUUACUCGAGUAUAUUUGCGAAGAAAAAAUGUUACUUUUACUCCGUUAUAUUCGGCUACAUUCCGCUCGUUACUUUUAUUUUUUACCCAUUUUUUAUUCAACGCACGUUCUGUUUGUUUCUUUCUCUCAGAGACUUCAGCCAAAGAGGCUGACUGGUCUUUGCUUUGGCGCUGUCAUAGCCCCACAUGACUCCGUUUCACCAAUCAAACGUAGCCAGUCACAGCACACAGAAGGAUGAGUGGGCGACAACAAUGGCUGAAACAACGGCGGAGGUGUGCAACGCUUUGCGCGGACAAUGGAGGAGUUAGACCAGGUCUCCAGUGACACAACCAGAGCCCGCGGAACGCCCUCCCGCCGCUCUGAGUCGAGUGUCCGGUUCCACGUCGCCAGCUCCCAGCUGACCGCCUGGAAAGAUGACCAGCCGGACGUUCGUUUCCUGUGUUCGGAAGCUCGGGUUCCAGCUUGUUCCUGAUCAGGGUCGCGGGGAGUGCUGGAGCCCAUCCCAGCGUGCAUUGGGCGAGAGGCAGGAAUACACCUUGGACAGGUCAACAUUCUAUCGCAGGGCACUCACAUCAUUCACUCACCAUUCACUCACACACUCAUACCAACUGGCAAUUUAGAGCCUCCGGUCAGCCGACCUGCAUGCCUUGUCUGGACUGUGGGAUGAAACUGGAGUACCUGGAGGAAACCCACGCGGACAAGGGAUUCGAACCCAGGACCUGUGAGGCAACAGUGCUACCCACUGCAGCACCGUACCGCCCGUAAAAAAUUAAAGAUAAUAUAAUUAAAGUUAAUUAAUAAGAAUUAGUUCAAACUUUGUGUUAUCAUCCACUCAGUACUGGAUACAGACCCCUCCCUGCUUCUUUUGCCACCAGACUUUAAAAAAAAAUUGACCCACAGGCAUAGACAUUUAAACAGUGUGAUUUUUAAAAUUAUAACCUUAACAAUUCUGCCUCCUCCAUUGUUAGAUUUCACUGACAAUGCACAUCCCUGUAAUUUUGUUUAAAUACUGUAGCAAACAAUGAGCAGUAAAUGUUGCGUAAGUCACCGCGUGGUGUCCUAGAAACAGAGUAUUCAACAACGUUUUUGAUUUAUCUUCUGUCGGCUUUCAGUCAGUAACUAGUUGUUUCGAAAAUGAGGUAUGUACAAAAAUGGAGCAAGCUCUGUAAAUUGCAUUGAAUGAGAGGACAAAGUUUGUUUUCUUUGUCUCAAUGUUAAUACAGUUUGCAAAAGUUCGAAUUCAAGGUCGCUGUACCUGCCAGGUGUGUCAGUACAUUUUAGACUUGUUUGUGAGACACACUGAAUCUAGUCGCACUGUUCAAACACAUGCACCCUACACUGCGUAGAAUCUCCAUGCAGAAACAAGCUUUGAAUCGCAUUUAGUUCAACAGCAGCUGUCUGGCAGGUACUAACAACUGCCCGUCGUGACCUUUGAAAGUGAUGACCAGGAAGGGGGAAGCAUCGUCGUCACAGUUACGGUCACUGUCAUGACCAUCGCCUUAUUAUUUGUUUGUGUUUAUUUAAUCAGGUAGGUCAACCGCGAACUUAACUACGUUCUCUUUCGCAAUGACAGUCUGGGGAAUCAAGGUCCAUAGGAACACAACAGAUUGUCUAGCCAAUCAUAUUGAUGGUUAAGUGGCCAGAUGAAGGUAGCCACCUUUGUGGGAAUUUGAUCAGCUCAAUGAGGUUGUAUCCUAUACUCUUUCAAAAAGCAAUCAGACAUGUAUAAUGUCCACAGCGAGUCAGGACUUCAGUUUAAAGUCUCAACUGAAGGAUGGAUAGCAUUUUAUUAUUUUUCUCUCAAAGAGUACUGCUGUACAACAGAGGUCUGCCUGGCCCUCUGUUAGCGUAGCCAGCAAUAGCAGCAGUCACUAAGAUUGCUGCAAACCAAGUUUCUGUUUGGUUCUGACGGAUGAGCAUAGUGACGUUUGACCUGGGAUGCGGAGUCAACUGCUUGUGACCUCAAACCGGCUCCAAAACAGAAUUCUGUUUCCCCGGUCCCGGCUGUGCUGCUGACCUUUUGUGAAUGUUUCUUUUUGCGUCUGGACAGGCUAUGUUUUGUUUUUGUUGUUUUGUCUUUUCGAGCAAUUGCAGCUAGAUCUCACAACAGUCAGAUACAAAGCCACAUUUUAACUGAUAGUGUAAAGAAGGCCACUGUCCCAGCUAUUGCGGUACAAGUAAACCGUUUAAUUCUUUUAAAUAUCAUUUUGUGAAAUUGAAGCCAGCCUUAUUUUAGUGUCAAAACAUGUUAUUUUCUUCUUUUUUGGAUGUAUGACUUUGUGAAGCCCAGUGUUCUGAUCUGUUCUGUGGAUUCUCUUCAGUCCCAUCCCAUCCUGACAGACCUCAUUUUUUCUGGAUCCCAUACAAAAAUAAAACAAAAUUGUGUGUGUGUGCGUGCGUGCAUGCGUGCAUGCGUGUGUGUGUAUGUGUGUGCGUGCACAUUCUUGUGAACCUGAAAUGAAGGGGUUUGGCAUUGAUGCAAAUUUUAACUUCAGAGCCGAUUUGGUAUGGCUCUGUCUUACUGAGUGAAGGCUGGUGAUCAGGAAGAAUGAGGGUGUUGGUUUCACUGUCCUCUCUCCAUGGCUGCAGCAACUGUUUCUACACAGAAUAUGUUUAAACUGCAGUAUUCAUUUGAGUGGAGAGAGAGGGACACACGUUGUGAUCACAUUUAGCAUGUAGGCUUAAACUGCUAGGUUAUAAGUUAAAAGACUGGGGGAGAAUUGAGAGGUCAGUAUCAGUAAGCUUAACCUAGCCUUAGUGUAUUCAGCGCUGUAACUAUUUCUGAUCAAAUACUCAUGCUCCGUAAAGCAGUUUGUAAAUUCGCCCGUUUCAUUUUUAAGAAACUGUGAAGUCAAUAGAAUAUAUUUCAGAAAUUUUGCCCAAGGGAAUUUACAAACCUUUAGAAUCCUGUGUUGAGUGCUGUAUUCCUUUACAUAUUAAUGAAAUUGGCAAUGAAUUGGGUUAGUUUUCUUUUUUCAAUAAAUAUAGCUUGUGAAUAAUCUUUGUCUUUGCUAACAUUAACAUCGCCCAG
Molecule: long non-coding RNA, 3080 nt
Organism: Anguilla rostrata (American eel)
Lineage: Eukaryota; Metazoa; Chordata; Actinopteri; Anguilliformes; Anguillidae
Exons: 3
Source: RefSeq, a predicted model, not a curated record